This 253-nucleotide ribosomal RNA is filed under the name uncultured bacterium. RNAcentral describes it as "partial 16S ribosomal RNA". It matches the Rfam family "Bacterial small subunit ribosomal RNA", at positions 524 to 776 of the family's 1533-position model. The record is from RNAcentral.
UACGUAGGGUGCAAGCGUUAAUCGGAAUUACUGGGCGUAAAGCGUGCGCAGGCGGUUUUGUAAGUCUGUCGUGAAAUCCCCGGGCUUAACCUGGGAAUUGCGUUGGAGACUGCAAGGCUGGAGUCUGGCAGAGGGGGGUAGAAUUCCACGUGUAGCAGUGAAAUGCGUAGAGAUGUGGAGGAACACCGAUGGCGAAGGCAGCCCCCUGGGUCAAGACUGACGCUCAUGCACGAAAGCGUGGGGAGCAAACAGG